UACAGAGGUCCCAAGCGUUGUUCGGAUUCACUGGGCGUAAAGGGUGCGUAGGUGGUGGCUUAAGUCGGAUGUGAAAUCUCCGGGCUCAACCCGGAGCGGUCAUCCGAAACUGGGCCGCUAGAGGAUGGGAGGGGAGACUGGAAUUCUCGGUGUAGCAGUGAAAUGCGUAGAUAUCGAGAGGAACACCCGUGGCGAAGGCGAGUCUCUGGACCAUUCCUGACGCUGAGGCACGAAAGCCAGGGGAGCAAACAGG
RNAcentral lists this ribosomal RNA (253 nucleotides) under uncultured bacterium. RNAcentral's name for it is "partial 16S ribosomal RNA". It matches the Rfam family "Bacterial small subunit ribosomal RNA", at positions 524 to 776 of the family's 1533-position model. The record is from RNAcentral.